This is a long non-coding RNA of Oncorhynchus tshawytscha (Chinook salmon), 820 nucleotides long. Lineage: Eukaryota; Metazoa; Chordata; Actinopteri; Salmoniformes; Salmonidae. The record is from Ensembl.
CCUAACUGUAACCUUAGCAAGCAGUUGCUUAUCGACAGAUAGUCAACACUGUAUCGAAAUGUGGGGGGGGUCGGCAUGGGCAGUUAGGGAAGGCAUGGGCAGUUAUGGAAGGCAUGGGCAGUUAUGGAAGGCAUGGGCAGUUAUGGAAGACAUGGGCAGUUAUGGAAGGCAUGGGCAGUUAUGGAAGGCAUGGGCAGUUAUGGAAGACAUGGGCAGUUAUGGAAGGCAUGGGCAGUUAUGGAAGGCAUAGGCAGUUAUGGAAGGCAUGGGCAGUUAUGGAAGACAUGGGCAGUUAUGGAAGGCAUGGGCAGUUAUGGAAGGCAUGGGCAGUUAUGGAAGGCAUGGGCAGUUAUGGAAGGCAUGGGCAGUUAUGGAAGACAUGGGCAGUUAUGGAAGACAUGGGCAGUUAUGGAAGGCAUGGGCAGUUAUGGAAGACAUGGGCAGUUAUGGAAGGCAUGGGCAGUUAUGGAAGGCAUGGGCAGUUAUGGAAGGCAUGGGCAGUUAUGGAAGGCAUGGGCAGUUAUGGAAGGCAUAGGCAGUUAUGGAAGACAUGGGCAGUUAUGGAAGACAUGGGCAGUUAUGGAAGACAUGGACAGUUAUGGAAGGCAUGGGCAGUUAUGGAAGACAUGGGCAGUUUUUCGGAUGACGGACAAGGCUUUGAGCUAGUCUUUGUAACUGUGGGCCCUUGCAUGUGUCUGACUGAGGACUCAGAGCAUAGCAGACACAGGAGAAGUCUGUGUUCCUGGAGUCAUGGAAGGCUUAAAAAGGCAGGGCCCAGUUUUCCACACCACUGAAUGCAGAGGCCCACCCCACUCCCGAC